This 378-nucleotide unclassified non-coding RNA is filed under the name uncultured bacterium. RNAcentral's name for it is "contains 16S-23S intergenic spacer region". The record is from RNAcentral.
UCCGGUUUGUCACCGGCAGUCACCUUAGAGUGCCCAACUGAAUGCUGGCAACUAAUGACAAGGGUUGCGCUCGUUGCGGGACUUAACCCAACAUCUCACGACACGAGCUGACGACAGCCAUGCAGCACCUUCUCAACGAUUCUCUUGCGAGCACCCCCAUAUCUCUACGGGGUUUCGCUGGAUUUAACCCAGGUAAGGUUCUUCGCGUUGCGUCGAAUUGAACCACAUGCUCCACCGCUUGUGCGGGCCCCCGUCAAUUCCUUUGAGUUUCAACCUUGCGGUCGUACUCCCCAGGCGGGGUACUUCCUGCGUUAGCGCCGGCACCCAGAGGGUCGCUCCCCCAGGCACCUAGUACCCAUCGUUUACGGCGUGGACUAC